AGGACGAACGCUGGCGGCGUGCUUAACACAUGCAAGUCGAGCGGAAAGGCCCUUCGGGGUACUCGAGCGGCGAACGGGUGAGUAACACGUGAGUAAUCUGCCCAUCGCUUCAGGAUAGCCAUCGGAAACGGUGAUUAAUACUGGAUAUGACAUUCCUUCGCAUGUUGGGGUGUGGAAAGUUUUUUCGGCGGUGGAUGUGCUCGCGGCCUAUCAGCUUGUUGGUGGGGUAAUGGCCUACCAAGGCUUUGACGGGUAGCCGGCCUGAGAGGGUGACCGGCCACACUGGGACUGAGACACGGCCCAGACUCCUACGGGAGGCAGCAGUGGGGAAUAUUGGACAAGUGGGCGGAAGCCUGAUCCAGCAACGCCGCGUGAGGAUGACGGCCUUCGGGUUGUAAACCUCUUUCAGCACAGACGAAGUUUUGUCGUUUUUUGGUGUAAGUGACGGUAUGUGCGAGAAGAACGGACCGACGAACUACGCG
RNAcentral lists this ribosomal RNA (482 nucleotides) under uncultured soil bacterium. RNAcentral's name for it is "bacterial SSU rRNA". It matches the Rfam family "Bacterial small subunit ribosomal RNA", at positions 26 to 507 of the family's 1533-position model. The record is from RNAcentral.